GCCGGCGGGAGCUGUGCGGAUGAAAGGGGAGCAGAGGGGCGCGAAGGUGAGACCCGGCGCCCCGCGCCCACAGGCGACCCCGGCGAGCUCAAUUAGCGCACGGGCCGCCAGCGCCUCAAAGGCCGCCGCCCGCCGCCCGCCGCCCGCCGCCCGCCGCCCGCCGCCCGCCGCCCGCCGCCCGCCGCCCGCCGCCCGCCGCCCGCCGCCCGCGGGGGUGGGCAGCGCGGGCUGGCGGGGGCGGGGACGGCGCGGGCGGCUCCGGAGGGGAACCCGCCUAAUCACCCAGGAAGGCCCGGGCCGGUCCCCAGAUCACCCCCCAGCGGCCCACCGAGGGCCUUGGACGCCGCCCGCAGCCCGGGCUGGACGGUCGGCCUGCGGGCCCCCCCCUCACACCCUGCAGGGCCUCCGUCCGGGGCCCACCGCAGACACGGAGUGACCUAGCUCAGUGCUCAUCCUCCGGGUGCAAAGCUUAUCGGAAACGGGGGCGAGUGACAGUUCUGCCUUGAAGGGCCGUGGGGAGGCCCAAGGGAGAGUGUCCACACAGGACCAGCAAGGGCCCUGGGCGUGGAAUCACUGGCUGCGCUCUUGUCCCCGAAGAGGACCCGGGCAGAGAUGUCUCCACCACACCGCUGGAGUGACCGCGCCCUCCUCCCGCCUUUCUCUGCCUGCUGCGUGCGCAGGUGCAUGUGUGUGCACACACACACACAGGGUCAUGGAGUCCUCCGCUUCCUGUUCAGAUGUCCCCUGGCCUCUGGAGUUGGGGAGGCCAAGGUCAGCAAGCCCUUCAGGAGAGAAAGUGAACAGUCUCCUUCCCUGGACGGGGUCCAGCCAGCCCAGAAUGGUCUUGUCCUGGGGACAUCCCAGAUCACAGGAGUCACCCCAGCGCCCAGGGAUUCACACCCUCCCAGUCCACCCUUCACCAGGGACUGACCCCAGGAGGGAUGAAAGGCAAGCUCCUCUGCUGGGGGUCAGGGCAAGUUCAAAGGUCACACAGCCCUCACAUCGCCCCCCGAGAUCACGAGUCCCCCGGCCGGAGCGAGACAAAGUGAACCCCUCUUGGAUCGUGGGGGCUGCAGAGACCUGCCUGCAAAAGAAGCGAUUACGUCUCGGUGCUCUUCGUUGUAUUAACCAGGCUUCGCCAGCGGCUCACCAGUAA
Molecule: long non-coding RNA, 1156 nt
Filed under: Capra hircus (goat)
Lineage: Eukaryota; Metazoa; Chordata; Mammalia; Artiodactyla; Bovidae
Description: lncRNA (ENSCHIG00000002421.1)
Source: RNAcentral